This 73-nucleotide transfer RNA is filed under the name Phytophthora infestans (potato late blight agent). RNAcentral's name for it is "tRNA-Asn". It matches the Rfam family "tRNA". Rfam says of the family: Transfer RNA (tRNA) molecules are approximately 80 nucleotides in length. Their secondary structure includes four short double-helical elements and three loops (D, anti-codon, and T loops). RNAcentral also lists the same sequence under 1 other name. Lineage: Eukaryota; Oomycota; Peronosporomycetes; Peronosporales; Peronosporaceae. The record is from RNAcentral.
UCUUCUAUAGCUCAGUUGGUAGAGCGUGCGGCUGUUAACCUCAAGGUCGCUGGUUCAAACCCAGCUGGGAGAG